CCUACGGGAGGCAGCAGUGGGGAAUAUUGCGCAAUGGGCGAAAGCCUGACGCAGCGACGCCGCGUGAGGGAUGAAGGUCUUCGGAUCGUAAACCUCUGUCAGCAGGGAAGAACGGUCACUGUGCUAAUCAGCAGUGAAUUGACCGUACCUGCAAACGUAGCACCGGCUAACUCCGUGCCAGCAGCUCCGGUAAUACGGAGGGUGCGUGCGCUAAUCGGAAGUACUGGGCGUGAAGCGGUCGUAGGCGGUAUGUCAAGUGAAGGGUGAAAUCUCCGCGGUCAACGUGGGAACUGCAUUUGAAACUGGCGAACUAGAGUGUGUGAGAGGAAAGUGGAAU
This 337-nucleotide ribosomal RNA is filed under the name uncultured bacterium. Its description in RNAcentral is "partial 16S ribosomal RNA". It matches the Rfam family "Bacterial small subunit ribosomal RNA", at positions 338 to 667 of the family's 1533-position model. The record is from RNAcentral.